GAUGAACGCUGGCGGCGUGCCUAAUACAUGCAAGUCGAGCGAACAGACGAGGAGCUUGCUCCUCUGACGUUAGCGGCGGACGGGUGAGUAACACGUGGAUAACCUACCUAUAAGACUGGGAUAACUUCGGGAAACCGGAGCUAAUACCGGAUAAUAUAUUGAACCGCAUGGUUCAAUAGUGAAAGACGGUUUUGCUGUCACUUAUAGAUGGAUCCGCGCCGCAUUAGCUAGUUGGUAAGGUAACGGCUUACCAAGGCAACGAUGCGUAGCCGACCUGAGAGGGUGAUCGGCCACACUGGAACUGAGACACGGUCCAGACUCCUACGGGAGGCAGCAGUAGGGAAUCUUCCGCAAUGGGCGAAAGCUUGACGGAGCAACGCCGCGUGAGUGAUGAAGGUCUUCGGAUCGUAAAACUCUGUUAUUAGGGAAGAACAAAUGUGUACGUAACUAUGCACGUCUUGACGGUACCUAAUCAGAAAGCCACGGCUAACUACGUG
Molecule: ribosomal RNA, 497 nt
Filed under: uncultured bacterium
Lineage: Bacteria
Description: partial 16S ribosomal RNA
Rfam family: Bacterial small subunit ribosomal RNA
Source: RNAcentral